Acinonyx jubatus (cheetah) is the source of this 345-nucleotide long non-coding RNA. RefSeq lists it as uncharacterized. Lineage: Eukaryota; Metazoa; Chordata; Mammalia; Carnivora; Felidae. The transcript has 3 exons. The record is from RefSeq and is a predicted model, not a curated record.
GGAAAACAUAAAGGUUCACUGUGAAUGCAAAGCCUGUUUCCAGAUUCAGAGACUGCUGUUCCCUCUCAAGUUUUUAAGGAAGACUCAAUUAUAUAAGAAGGUCUUCAAAGCACUUACACUACAAAUUAAAGAACACAAUCUUGUAAUGGGUUUCUUCUGAUGAAAUAUAACCAGUGAUCACCAUCCUUGCAAAGAGCCAUGCGCUGCAUAUCUACCCUAAGCAAACAGAGAAGCUUAAACUAACACAUCAUCUUCAAACAAAGUUAUCUGAAGUUCUGAAAACACAGAGGUAAGAAACUAAUAAGUGACAAUUCUGAAAUACUUGCUUAAAGACAACAAACCGAU